GCGGAAGUGGCGGAAUGGCAGACGCACUGGAUUCAGGUUCCAGCGGGGUAACACUCGUGCGGGUUCAAGUCCCGCCUUCCGCA
RNAcentral lists this transfer RNA (83 nucleotides) under Deltaproteobacteria bacterium. Its description in RNAcentral is "tRNA-Leu". It matches the Rfam family "tRNA". From Rfam's summary of the family: Transfer RNA (tRNA) molecules are approximately 80 nucleotides in length. Their secondary structure includes four short double-helical elements and three loops (D, anti-codon, and T loops). Lineage: Bacteria; Pseudomonadati; Myxococcota; Myxococcia. The record is from RNAcentral.